RNAcentral lists this long non-coding RNA (1451 nucleotides) under Felis catus (domestic cat). RNAcentral describes it as "lncRNA (ENSFCAG00000050739.1)". The record is from RNAcentral. Lineage: Eukaryota; Metazoa; Chordata; Mammalia; Carnivora; Felidae.
AGAGAGAAACACGCCCCGUGACUCAGAGGCUGUGCCAGGUGUCGGUGGGGCCAAGCCGCUGCCAGGCACAAGAGCAGUGGGAUGGAUCUAGUCCACAGGAAGGUCUUCUGGGGCAGGAGGAAAUCCAGGCUCGGAGGGGAAGAAGCUGGGAGCGAGUGUGGACAAAUCCUGCUGGCUGAGCCUCAGGGGCACCCGAGACAACAGCCCAGAGGACAUCCUUUGAACCUAAGGAGGAUUACCGGGUUUCUGAAAGGACUGCACACAAACAAAGGGCCCCAGAGUGUCAUUCCUCUGGACGAAACCUCCCAAGGCUUCCAACAGUUGGUGCAGGAGGGGAAGUUUCUGGAAGCCUACCUGAGCGUCUCCGCGUCAGCAUGGGAAGGGCAGGACUGCGGCCCCCAGUACCAGGCUCUGGCCCAGAGCAUGUGGCAAGUGGUCCAGCAGGCUCUGGAGGGCGUCAGGCUCGGCCAGGAGCUGGAGCUGAAGCUCCAGGCGGUGCUGGACACUGUGGAGUACACACAGGACCAGCCCCCGAGCCCGGAGGCCGGUACCCUCGAGGACGGCACAGUCGCCACCUGGGGCAGUCAGCUGGAGAGGCUGCUGAGAAAUGACGCUGAGGCCCGAGUGCCCACCUGGGACCCCAGGGACGAGCUGGGCCCUUUCCUGGAGAAGCUAAAGGAGGCUGUGAGACAGGGCCUGGGGUUGCUGAGGGCGAGCCGGCUGGGGGCCCGUCUCUGGACGAUCUACAGCACCUGCUUCCAGGAGGUCCUCCUCAGCCGCCUCUUGGAGCUCAAGCACUCCUGCGGCACCAGCUGGAACAGCUGCUGCGUGCUGUAUGCCUGGGGCAGGACGACCUUGUUUGGGCAGCUGGGCAGGGAGACGCUUCCGAAUGCACCUUCCACCUCCCAGAAGCCCACGGCCGGGUACCUCUUGGACUCCAUGAUGUUUGUGACCUGGAUGUCCCAAGUGCAGAAGAAGCUGGUGGGGCUGGUCCAGGUACCAGGACAAGGCUGUCCACUUCCUGCAGCAGAACGCCACUGCGGGGGCCUUCCCCGAGGUGCACCUGCUGGGAAACUGCUGCAUCCUCAGAAUCUGCUGAGGGGCCACUUCGGAAGGAAGGAGAGGGAUCUGGUCAAGGCUCUGCAGUCCCUGUGGCAGGGCCUGGAGGGCUGUCCCAGCCUGCACUCCACUCCCGUGUAUGAGAGCAUCAUGCAAAGUUUGCACAUGGUGGUCUUUGGGGAGUACGUCCAGGCCCUGGCCACCCACCUCAGGAUGCUGGCGCCCAGGAAGUGGGGGAGCCUGAGGACUCAGGUGGAGACGGACAUCUGGAAGUUGGACAACAUCUUCAGGAAGCACGGGCAUGCAGGACCAGCCAUGCAGCUCUGUGGACUUGGAGGUUGAGGUCAAGGGAAGAUCCUGCUGCUGCUGCUGAUCCCCCAGCUCUGCACCAG